RNAcentral lists this long non-coding RNA (1522 nucleotides) under Olea europaea subsp. europaea. The record is from RNAcentral. Lineage: Eukaryota; Viridiplantae; Streptophyta; Magnoliopsida; Lamiales; Oleaceae.
UUUCUUUUUCGAACGUUUAUUUUAUUUAUAGUCAAUUCAAUUUAUUUUCCAUAUUGAGAUUAGGUGGAGAUAUGUUUAUAUUAGUUUUCUUAAAGAUUAUCAUUGAUUAGAAGAGUAAGUAAACUUUAUGCACUUAUUUGGACCUAUAAACUUGCUUAUUUAUUGAUAAAUAAAGUAGAUAUCUACUUAAUUUAGAAUAAAUAUGAAUAGUUUUAGGUAAAAUCCUAUGAUAAGUGUAUUUUAUACACUUAUUCGGGUGCUUAAAAUGACAAUAUUUGGUGGUCCUUUUAACAAAUUAUAUCAUAAUUUUUUUAUUUUAUGCUUAAUAGAUAUAUUUCACGAUCAAAAAGGGAGUUGAAGAGAAGAAGCAAAAAUGGGCGAAAAGUGGCAAAAUUCAAGUACAAGGACUAAAUUGGCUAGUUGAUGCAAAGUUUGGAAAUCAAAAUUCAUUAUCUUGAAAAUUAAGGACUUGGAAGCAAACACUAUAAAUGGGCCUCAACUAGACUUCCACGUGGGCUGCUGAUUGAACUUCUUGACCUAGAAGGACCCGCAUGUAUGCAAAGUGAAAUUAAAAAGUCCAAGUGAAAGUGAUUUUCGGUGGCUGCUAGGUUUUAUUUUUUAUAUAUAUACACCAUUUACACGCCGAGGAGGGGGGGAGCCGAACUAGGGAGCAAAUUGGACUCCACUUUGGGGUAAAUUAUUGAGGCUCAAUAGCACAGAAAAUCGGGAGAGAUACAUACGAAUUGGAGAGGUGGAAUUGGGGAGACAACCUGGGGGAAUUGGUUGCUGGAAAUUAGACUUACAUACAUAUAUAAUUACGCCUUGCAGCCAGCAAAACGACUUUUCUGGAAGGAGAACUGCAGCCGGCCAAAUACAACACUUCGGAAGAAUUUCUAACGGCUGGACAAAAAAUUCAAUUGCGGACUGCUAGGAUUGAUUGGAAGAAGGCCCGACACACAAUUGGAUAAAUCAAUUGAGAAACGUGUAAAGCAUAGAGGGAAGCUGAAAGUAGAUUUGGAGGCAAGAAUUGAAGCUGCCGACAAUUAAUAUAUUUACAUACACACGUAAAGACGGCAGCUUGAGGAGGCAGAAUUGAGAAGUUCCAGCUGGGAUUACAAUUAAAUAUUGGAGGCACUCACAGAAAUUGAGGAGAGGCACACAGAGAAGCUCAGAAAUUGCUGGAAUUUAUCACUUAUACGCAUAGGAAAUCGAGGCAGAAUUGGACUCCAAACAUUGAAGCUGUCGACUGGAGUAAAAUUGAAAUUUCAUUCGCGUUUCGUCAAUUAAUCCCGGUGAUAUCUUCCAUUAUUUUAUCUUGUGUUUCUUCCAUAAUUAUGAAUAGCUAAAUUUAAUUUAGGGCGAACAACGUAAUUUAUUUGGAACCCUUUAUUUCGUUGAUUUAAGAUUCUAGUGCUUUUAUAUCUUAUGCGUUGAUUUUAAUGUUGUGCUUAAUUCUUUUAAUUACUUGAUCACUAAUUAAAUGAUUUGUGAGCGAUGAUUGCGUAGAGAUGCGGAUUAUUUG